Molecule: long non-coding RNA, 426 nt
Organism: Helicoverpa zea (corn earworm)
Lineage: Eukaryota; Metazoa; Arthropoda; Insecta; Lepidoptera; Noctuidae
Exons: 4
Source: RefSeq, a predicted model, not a curated record
CAACAUCAUACGUAAAGCAGAGAUAAAAAGAGUAUCGAUUGUUUUGACCAGUUGACAGCUAUCAGUUUUCAAGAGAGAAUUUCCAAGGAUCGGCACCCUUUCAACCAGCAUGGCUCAGUGAAGUUCACAGUGCAGGCCCCGAGGACCCGGUACACCAGGGAGAUCGUCUUCCACUUCCAGGACUUAGUGGUAUCGUUCGGAGGAGCAGCUGGCCUAUUCCUCGGCGCGAGUUUCAUCAGUUUCGUGGAGAUAUUAUAUUUCCUACUAACCAGACUCUUCAAGACUAUUGCAAGACGGGAAGAAAGAAAGGUUGUGAAGACUACAGCUGUCAAGGUAAAAAAGCCGGCGAUUUCUCAUGAAACAAUGAGAAUUAAUCAGCUAACGGCCAUAUUUGAUGCGCAGAAGACAUAUGAUGGCAGACCUGGA